UAGGGAAUCUUCCGCAAUGGGCGAAAGCCUGACGGAGCAAUGCCGCGUGAGUGAAGAAGGCCUUCGGGUCGUAAAACUCUGUUAUAAGAGAAGAACAAAUUGUAGAGUAACUGCUACAGUCUUGACGGUAUCUUAUCAGAAAGCCACGGCUAACUACGUGCCAGCAGCCGCGGUAAUACGUAGGUGGCAAGCGUUGUCCGGAUUUAUUGGGCGUAAAGGGAGCGCAGGUGGUUUCUUAAGUCUGAUGUGAAAGCCCACGGCUUAACCGUGGAGGGUCAUUGGAAACUGGGAAACUUGAGUACAGAGGAGGAAUGUGGAACUCCAUGUGUAGCGGUGGAAUGCGUAGAUAGAUGGAAGAACACCAGUGGCGAAGGCGACAUUCUGGUCUGUUACUGACACUGAGGCUCGAAAGCGUGGGGAGCAAACAGG
RNAcentral lists this ribosomal RNA (429 nucleotides) under Acidobacteriota bacterium. Its description in RNAcentral is "Acidobacteria bacterium partial 16S ribosomal RNA". It matches the Rfam family "Bacterial small subunit ribosomal RNA", at positions 355 to 776 of the family's 1533-position model. Lineage: Bacteria; Pseudomonadati; Acidobacteriota. The record is from RNAcentral.